RNAcentral lists this long non-coding RNA (227 nucleotides) under Mytilus galloprovincialis (Mediterranean mussel). Lineage: Eukaryota; Metazoa; Mollusca; Bivalvia; Mytilida; Mytilidae. The record is from RNAcentral.
UUUUUUUGUUUUUUGUUUUUUUUUACAUAAAUAAGGCCGUUAGUUUUCUCGUUUGAAUUGUUUUACAUUGUCUUAUCGGGGCCUUUUAUAGCCGACUAUGCGGUAUGGGCUUUGCUCAUUGUUGAAGGCCGUACGGUGACCUAUAGUUGGUAAUGUCUGUGUCAAUUUGGUCUUUUGUGGAUAGUUGUCUCAUUGGCAAUCAUACCACAUCUUCUUUUUUAUAUUAA